Molecule: ribosomal RNA, 863 nt
Filed under: uncultured archaeon
Lineage: Archaea
Description: bacterial SSU rRNA
Rfam family: Archaeal small subunit ribosomal RNA
Source: RNAcentral
UGAUCCUGCCGGAGGUUACUGCUAUCGGAGUUCGAUUAAGCCAUGCGAGUCUAAAGGUUUCUUNGGAAACCUUGGCGGACUGCUCAGUAACACGUGGAUAACCUACCCUUGGGACUGGAAUAACCCCGGGAAACUGGGGAUAAUACCGGAUAGAUCAGGGAUGCUGGAAUGCACCUUGAUCCAAAGCUCCGGCGCCCAAGGAUGGGUCUGCGGCCUAUCAGGUAGUAGUGGGUGUAACGUACCUACUAGCCAACGACGGGUACGGGUUGUGAGAGCAAGAGCCCGGAGAUGGAUUCUGAGACACGAAUCCAGGCCCUACGGGGUGCAGCAGGCGCGAAACCUUUACAAUGUGCGAAAGCAUGAUAAGGGAACUCCGAGUGCCAGCAUCUAAUGUUGGCUGUCCUUGUGCCUAAAACGCACAAGAUAGCAAGGGCCGGGUAAGACCGGUGCCAGCCGCCGCGGUAACACCGGCGGCCCGAGUGGUAGCCGCUAUUAUUGGGUCUAAAGGGUCCGUAGCCGGUUCGAUAAGUCCUCUGGGAAAUCUGGUUGCUUAACAAUCAGACUGCCAAGGGAUACUGUCGAACUUGAGACCGGGAGAGGUAAGAGGUACUUCAGGGGUAGGAGUGAAAUCUUGUAAUCCCUGGGGGACCAUCUGUGGCGAAGGCGUCUUACCAGAACGGGUCUGACGGUGAGGGACGAAAGCUGGGGGCGCAAACCGGAUUAGAUACCCGGGUAGUCCCAGCCGUAAACGAUGCUCGCUAUGUGUCAGGUACGGUGUGACCGUAUCUGGUGCCGUAGGGAAGCCGUGAAGCGAGCCACCUGGGAAGUACGGCCGCAAGGCUGAAACUUAAAGGAAUUGGCGG